Non-coding RNA from Rattus norvegicus (Norway rat), 566 nucleotides. Lineage: Eukaryota; Metazoa; Chordata; Mammalia; Rodentia; Muridae. The record is from RefSeq and is a predicted model, not a curated record.
UUUGCCCGGAAACCGGGAAAGGGAAUAACACUCGAAAUGUAUAUAAGAAAUACUCAAGUUAAUAAAAAAGAAAAAAAUAAUGUAAUUGUGAGAUUGCAUGAAAUUUGGGCCCAGCUGAAUUUCAGUGGAAAUGUAUCAAUGCACAUUUAUUGAAUCCAGGUGUGAAAUUAUAUGUUUAUGCAUAUUUGUCUAUGUAAAAGUUUUUAAUUCUGUAAUUGCUAUGCACUUCUCAUGGUUUAAUAGAUGUUGAUGGCUCCAAGCUUCUCCCUAGCCUGUCAAGCAAAAAGCAUAAGGACAAAAUGGAAAAGGCUCCAGCAAGUAAUCUUCUACUUUAUCUCCUGCUGUUUCAGAAUGAGGUGGAAACUUUCUCCAGUGCCCAUGUGUUGAAGACUCUUCCCCAUCUUUUCUUCUAUUAGUGUAGUGCCCACCUCGACCAGCAAGGAAGACACAUCACCGUUGGAUUCUUCUCAACAGCCUUUAUUUCAGGAAAACCUCAUUCUUGAUGAGGGGGGCCCCGAGGGAAAAAAGGCACUCCCCCUAAAUACAAGAAAGGCUGUGGUUGUAAA